RNAcentral lists this ribosomal RNA (493 nucleotides) under uncultured bacterium. Its description in RNAcentral is "bacterial SSU rRNA". It matches the Rfam family "Bacterial small subunit ribosomal RNA", at positions 903 to 1397 of the family's 1533-position model. The record is from RNAcentral.
AAAUGAAUUGACGGGGGCCCGCACAAGCGGUGGAGCAUGUGGCUUAAUUCGAUGCAACGCGAAGAACCUUACCAAGGCUUGACAUGCAGCUGCACGUCUCGUGAAAGCGAGAUUCCUUCGAGGGUGCUGCACAGGUGCUGCAUGGCUGUCGUCAGCUCGUGCCGUGAGGUGUUGGGUUAAGUCCCGCAACGAGCGCAACCCUUGUGAUUAGUUGCCACUCCGUAAAGGAAGCACUCUAGUCAGACUGCCUGUGAUAAGCAGGAGGAAGGUGAGGAUGACGUCAAGUCAGUAUGGCCUUUAUGCCUUGGGCUGCACACGUGCUACAAUGAACGGUAUAGAAGGAUGCAAGACCGCAAGGUGGAGCAAAUCCCCAAAACCGUUCUCAGUUCGGAUUGAAGUCUGCAACUCGACUUCAUGAAGUUGGAAUCGCUAGUAAAGGCGUAUCAGCUACGACGCCUUGAAUACGUUCCCGGGCCUUGUACACACCGCCCGU